This 111-nucleotide ribosomal RNA is filed under the name Bacillus subtilis. Lineage: Bacteria; Bacillati; Bacillota; Bacilli; Caryophanales; Bacillaceae. The record is from RNAcentral. RNAcentral also lists the same sequence under 2 other names.
UGGUGGCGAUAGCGAAGAGGUCACACCCGUUCCCAUACCGAACACGGAAGUUAAGCUCUUCAGCGCCGAUGGUAGUCGGGGGGUUCCCCCUGUGAGAGUAGGACGCCGCCA